CUUUAAUAAAAAUAUAAAAUUUUUUGAACCAACCGUUUUGUCAGAAAAAUUACACUGGUUAUAUAACAAUUUGACAAACACCAUUUUUGAUCAUUGAGAAGUUUAAUAUUCCUUUUACAACACAACGUAAUUAAAACGUGUAGCUGACUUUACAGAGUUAUCUCCCUGUAGUGUAAGGUUCCACCUUAAUCCACGAAAACUGCUACCCACGAAAAUAAAUGAAUCCCCAGAACAUAUACAUUAAUAACUAAAUGUGCCUCUUUAUAUCUUUAUUAUUUCAUAUUUUAUACAAUGACAACAGUGAUUGUUCUAUGCAAUACAAUGUAAUGCAAGGUUUGCAACUAAGGUCAGCUGUUCAUCAAAAAUACAUCACCAAGUUCUAACUCUUAAGUCAAUUCCUAGGUUUUCAUUCCAUCAUUUAAAAAAAAAUCAAGGAGUCAAAGAACUGUCUUGACUAGUCAUUAUGCUAAAAACUAUGAGUUCAAGGUCUAUAAUUCAAUAUUUAUUAUCUAGAUUUAUUUUUAAGGUGGUACCUAACACUACAGGGAGAUAACUCUGUAAAAUCAGCUUAACGUUUUAAUUACGUUGUGUUGUAAAGGGAAUAUUAAGCUUCUCAAUGAUCAAAAUUAGUGUUUGUCAAACUACUAUAUAACCAGUGUAAUUUUUCUGACAAAAUGGUUGGUUCAAAAUUUUCAAAAUUUUUAUGUUUUUGUUAAAGGGUCAAAGUAAAUACUUUGUCAAAAUUUUAUGAAAAUUAAACGAGCCAAAUUUAUUUUAGUGAAAGUGUUGGGUACCACCUUAAAUUCAAUUAUCUAGACUAUAGGCAAUUGUAUGUUUUGCAUAUACUAAAGACAAAUAUACAACAUUAAAAGUCUAUUUCAUUUUAGUUUUAUUUUUGUAGUAUAUAUGAUUCUUUUUUCUCAAAAGAAAAAAAUUGAAGACCUGAUAUAUUAGCUAUAAAUAGAAAUGAAAAAUCAACCAAAUAACUGAAAUGUUAGAAAUGAAAAUCUAGGAACAUCAUCCAAGGUUUUGCUUUGUUGAAAAAGAGCAAGCUGAAUUGCAUCGCAUAGCUGUAAAUUAUAUACAUAUUAUAAGCACUUACUGAGCUUGUCAGCUUAACAUUGUGUAUUGCUGACCUACUAAACUGACCUAGUUAGACCACAUGAUAAACUAAACUUAUUAGCUCACCAGGUAAACUUACAUAAAUUAGCUCACCUAGUAGACUAAUCUAAUCAGAUCAAAGUAGGACAGGUAAAAUUAAUUUUUGUGCUCAAAGCAGACAAGAUUAUUCUCUAUAACAGAAUCAACUGGUAUAAAAACAUUUUAAUCAUGAAAUAGUCCAAUUUAAUACUAUUUGCAAAGGAAAGGAUGAGCUGUAUCCCUGCCCAUUCAAAGCAAGUGGAAAGAAUCUGGUGUAUUAUACAGGAUCUGACAAUAAAUGUUUAACUGCAUCAGCAAUUGACACAUCAUGGAAAAAUUGGAUUGCAAAAUAGGUGAUUAUGUCAUGAAAAUACAUAAAAAUCUUGUGUAAAUCAAAACAUGCUUUUUUUCUAUACAGUUUGUAAAGACAGAGAUAUAGUUUGUCAUUUUGGGGUUGUUUCCCUUUGCAAAAUACUCUUAAAUAGGAUUCAUUAAGAAAAGGUAAGCAAACAAUGAGAGAACAAUGGACAACUAAUACCUAGAGAAGACAAAAAAUCCCAUGGUCUUUGACCAGGAAAGCUGUAAUUUUAUUUAACAGUUUGAAUUAUAAAUAAUUUUGAGAUUGUGGAUGGGGGUUUACAGAAUAGACAAAAAAUAUACAGAAUAGAAAAAAAUGGCCUAUUUUUUUAUAGUCAACAACCCUAAAUUUUGAGUUGUGUUACUACUAUGGCACAUAAUUUUGUUGGUUUUCUAUGAAAAGUAUGUACUCUUGUAAGAAUAAUACAGGUAAUAUCAAAUAUUCAUAUACAUAUAAUAAUUUUGCAUGUAACAAAAAUUUUAAGCAUAAGCGCUAGCAAAAUAUCUUAAUAAAAAGAAAUUUACAUUAUAAUACAUUUCAAUAACUAAUUUAAAUACUGACCAUGAAUACACAUUAAAUAAUGCAUAUUCAGAAUUUAAGGUGUGCAGAUUUUACAUAACUAGGAAAGGUAACAUCAUUGCACAAUGAUAACAGCACCUGAAGAUUAUAUCAAUGCCUGAUUUGUGAGGCCUCUCAUGUGGGUGUCCAAAUAAUUACUUUUUAAACCAUUUUAAUCACAUAAUCUUUAAUUAUUUUUUUAAACAAGAUAAUCAAAUAAUCAAAAAUACAGUCCUAGAUUAUCAAUUAAUCAUGAAAUAUUUUGUCUGGUAACCAAAUAAUUACUAUAAAAAUGGCCAAGUAAUCAUUUAAUCAAAUACCCCUUGAGGAGGGUCAUCCGCUUUUGUCCCUCAAGGACUUUCUUAAGGUGGUACCCAACACUUUCACUAAAAUCAAUUUGGCUCGUUUAAUUCUCAUAAAGUUUUGUCAAGGUAUUUACUUUGACCCUUUAACAAAAAUAUAAAAAAUUCAAAAAAUUUGAAACAACCAUUUUAUCAGAAAAAUUACACAGGUUAUAGGAAUAGGAUCCCAGUUAGGGCAACCAGUCCGGUACCCACGAAUGUAGUUCUUAAAAAAAAUAUAUAACUUUUGUUAUAAAUUGUGUAGUGUUAUUAUUUCACUAGUUCUGUAACUGAAUGUAGUUUUAUUUGAAAGGGUAGGCUUUCUAGUUUGAAUUUCUGUAAAAAUUUUGAUUGAUUUAAAUGUAAUCUGGCGUCAGUACAUAGAGUAAAUUGCCUAAAUUCUAGCCUUUAUUCUUUCCCGGAAGUAGACAGACUGACCCUGUUGUCAAUAAAAACAAAAUUUUGCAACGGAAUGCCGGUCAUGAGGCACUGAGAUUGCACUUAGACACUUCUAAAUGAAUGCCUAACAUGAACCAGAAGUCCCAAGGUGGCUAUCAAAAUUAUUUAUUGAACAGGACCCUAUGUAUUUACUAUGAUUUUCAAUGCGUUCCAAUGGGGCAAAUAAUUGGGUCCCCGUUCCUGUCAGAGAGCAUGUUUUGAACAUUUUAAUCUGCAAUUGUCAGCUCAUUUUUAAAGUUUCAUGGAUGAAAUUUGGCUACAGGCUUCAAAAUUUAAUAAGGAAAACAAUGGUGUAAUUAUUUUUAAAAUUUGAAUUAAACUUUUUAAAUUAAAUUGAAAUUUAAAUUUAUGAAAUUUAAAAAAGUUUGUUUUUCAAUUUAAAGUUUAAAAGGGGGUCACAGAAAGGUCAUAGUUGUCUGUAAUAUGUAUUCCUACACUUGCAAGUUAAAAUGGAGGGAUUUUUGAAAAAUAUCAGCAAAUAGUAUUAGAAAAAGUCACAGGGAAAGAAAUAAUAAAUGUGUUAUAUGGGAUCAGGGGACAGUGAAAGAUGGAAAAUAUGGGCUUAUUUCUUUCUAAUAUCUUAUUUCUGGGACCUGGAAACAGAAAAUAAACCCAUAGUUUCAGUUUUAGGUUUUUAAUAAGUUUUUGAUAAAUUGUGGCUAUUAAAUAAAUCAUUUAAGUGCCACGGUUCAGUUAUGAAAGUUGUGUGCGAAUCCAGCUAACAUUUAUUUAGAGCCGCAUCACAUACAUAGCCACAUAUUAUUGUGUGAACUCAGAAACACUUGCCAGGGGCUCUCUAAUUUUACAUUUUUUGGAAGAUAUUUAAGGGGUAGGGCUAUAAUAUAGCUUAUACAAGCAAUUUAAACUCAAUGUACAACAAUUUAAGACUCCCUUUUAAAGAUUUUGAUGGUCCUUAAAAGGACCGUUAAUUUUAUCUGUAUCUAUUUCAGCAGUAAAUGAAUAGAGCUAUAUCUUCCUUGGUUUUGGAACUUUUGGAGAUCUGCUUCUGGUUAAGGAAACACUUAGUGCUCUUUUAAUAGUUUCACUGUUUGAAUUUCAUUUUAAUUAAUGCUUCUUUCCUAAGUUUCAUUUUUAAAAGUUCCUGCAUUAUUAACUUGUCUUUGUUAUCUAUAUUCAGGUUGGUGAACUUGGACUAAAGUACAUGGAUCCCAGCCACCAACAGUUUCAGUGUCCAAGAGAACACACAUAUGAACUAGUGGGACAUUUAGAGCAGUCAAAAGUACAACAACGCACAGUAGCGUUAGGCGGUCAGGAAGAUCAAGGAUUUCCCUUCACAUCUGUUAAACUAUAGGAGGUGCUGUUUGACUGGUUUUAGCUACAAGUGAGAACUUCUCUGCAUCUAGCCUCUUAUAUUGUAUUUUAAAUGAACUUAGCAGACUAUUUGAAGACUUUGUCUCAUAUUUUAUACCAUUGUUUAUGGGGUAUGCUUGUUUUGCAUAUGUAAUUCUUUAAAACAGAAGA
This 4338-nucleotide long non-coding RNA is filed under the name Mytilus galloprovincialis (Mediterranean mussel). The record is from RNAcentral. Lineage: Eukaryota; Metazoa; Mollusca; Bivalvia; Mytilida; Mytilidae.